Arabidopsis lyrata subsp. lyrata is the source of this 1227-nucleotide long non-coding RNA. RefSeq lists it as uncharacterized. Lineage: Eukaryota; Viridiplantae; Streptophyta; Magnoliopsida; Brassicales; Brassicaceae. The transcript has 2 exons. The record is from RefSeq and is a predicted model, not a curated record.
GUGAAACAUUAUUUAUUUGUAUCUUUGAUUCAUUUAACAUGUCUGGUUAAACAUGACUUGAUGUUGGAAUCAUAGGUCAGAUUAGUUGAGAAAAACCAGCAAAAUCAAGAAGACUCUGUUAUCCUCUAAACGACACCGUUACGGUUAACUCUUUUGUUUCACACGUACCGGUUUCUACUGUAUUUGAUUUAAACCGAAACAUCUUCACCACACUCGAAGUCUCUCUUUCACCUAGAGGCUCUCUCCGUUUUUUGCCUGGAAGAAGAAUAAGAAGAAGAGAUGCGAGCAAUUCACACGCAAUUGAGCUCCUGGUUCGGUUGUGACUCACUGAAUCCAUUGGUGGUGACUGAAGACUUUGAAAAGAUCGAGAUGUGAAUCUCCUAAAGGAACUCUUGAGGAUAUGCGACUCAAAUUGAUACACUCUAUGAAUAUGCUAUAUUUUGUAGGUGUGUUGUUUCUGAUUGUAGCCCAGAGUACUCCUCCUUAUAUGGGUUUCUGCAAUUCCUCUGUUGGUUAGAUGAAAUAUUGAAUUCUGUGUUCAAAGUUAAAACCUUUACUUUGCUUUGAAGGUGUCACGGUUAUUUCGAGUCGAUUUUCCAGAGUUAAAUACGGAGGCAUUGUUCAUUAGAAAAGAAGUGACCAAGUUUAGAUGGAGGCCAUUGUUCAUUCUUAGCAUUUGUAUCUACUGUUUAGAUAGCUUGAACUAUAGCAACCUUGUUGUGUAUUUGUACAACAACCUCCCAAGGAGAAAGGUUGGCAAGUAAUGCCACUUUUGAUCAAGAGUUGUCCAAAUCUACACACUUUAGUCUUCAAGGGUCUUGCAACCCUAAGAAGCAGAGGAAGAUUGUAAAGAAAGAGGAGGCAUUAUGUUGUUUAUUGACAUGUCAAGUGAAGGUGCUUCAGAUUUUAGAAUAUGGAGGUUCUUUUCAAGAGCUGGAACAGAUGAGACGUUUCUUUGGGCAAGUUGGAACUUCUGAUAGAGUGUGUUGAUUAUUUCAAGGCUUACAAUACAUGGUGCCCGUAAAUUAAUGCUACAACAAAUCGACACCUCAGGCCAUUCAAAGGGAAAUAGCCAUUUAAAAAAAUAAAACAAGUGUAUUUUUGCUUGCUUAUUUAAGAGCUAAGAUCUAUGUAUGUGUAUGUUUCCUUUGUUUAAGAAUUAGUCUCUCUAUGUUGUUGAAGAACUAUGUAUCUCUUUGUUUAAGAAUUAAAAACUCAGUUACCAAA